This 460-nucleotide ribosomal RNA is filed under the name uncultured bacterium. RNAcentral describes it as "partial 16S ribosomal RNA". It matches the Rfam family "Bacterial small subunit ribosomal RNA", at positions 338 to 795 of the family's 1533-position model. The record is from RNAcentral.
CCUACGGGAUGCAGCAGUGAGGAAUAUUGGUCAAUGGGCGGAAGCCUGAACCAGCCAAGUAGCGUGAAGGAUGACGGCCCUACGGGUUGUAAACUUCUUUUAUAAGGGAAUAAAAUGUUCCACGUGUGGGAUUUUGUAUGUACCCUGUGAAUAAGGAUCGGCUAACUCCGUGCCCGCAGCCGCGGUAAUACGGGGGAGCCGAGCGUUAACCGGAUUUAUUGGGUUUAAAGGGGGUGUAGGGGGGUUGUUAAGUCAGUUGUGAAAGUUUGCGGCUCAACCGUAAAAUUGCAGUUGAAACUGGCAGUCUUGAGUACAGGAGAGGUGGGCGGAAUUCGUGGUGUAGCGGUGAAAUGCUUAGAUAUCACGAAGAACUCCGAUUGCGAAGGCAGCUCACUGGACUGCAACUGACACUGAGGCUCGAAAGUGUGGGUAUCAAACAGGAUUAGAUACCCGAGUAGUC